Molecule: ribosomal RNA, 261 nt
Filed under: uncultured prokaryote
Description: partial 16S ribosomal RNA
Rfam family: Bacterial small subunit ribosomal RNA
Source: RNAcentral
UACGGAGGAUCCGAGCGUUAUCCGGAUUUAUUGGGCGUAAGGAGCGCGCAGGUGGUUGAUUAAGUCUGAUGUGAAAGCCCACGGCUUAACCGUGGAGGGUCAUUGGAAACUGGUCGACUUGAGUGCAGAAGAGGGAAGUGGAAUUCCAUGUGUAGCGGUGAAAUGCGUAGAGAUAUGGAGGAACACCAGUGGCGAAGGCGGCUUCCUGGUCUGUAACUGACACUGAGGCGCGAAAGCGUGGGGAGCAAACAGGAUUAGAUA